UAUGUAUUUAAACAAAAGCAAACAAAGAUCUAAAAACAAAGAAAAAUACAUUAAUAUACAAAAUUGCCCCAAUCAAAAAAACUUAAAAAAACAUUCUAAUUAAAAAAUUUAGCAAAAAUUUUAAAUAAAUAAAAAUUUAAGGGUCUUUUAGUCUUUUAAAAACCAAUCAAAACUUUUUAUAAAUAAAACAAAUUCAAAAUAAAUAUAAAUCAAAAAGAAGAUUUAAAAUCCCAUUCAUACAAGUUUUCAAUAAAAAAACAAAUGAUUACGCUACCUU
Molecule: ribosomal RNA, 277 nt
Filed under: Sperchon violaceus
Lineage: Eukaryota; Metazoa; Arthropoda; Arachnida; Trombidiformes; Sperchontidae
Description: partial large subunit ribosomal RNA
Source: RNAcentral